This 274-nucleotide ribosomal RNA is filed under the name uncultured bacterium. RNAcentral describes it as "partial 16S ribosomal RNA". It matches the Rfam family "Bacterial small subunit ribosomal RNA", at positions 523 to 796 of the family's 1533-position model. The record is from RNAcentral.
AUACGGAGGGGGUUAGCGUUGUUCGGAAUUACUGGGCGUAAAGCGCACGUAGGCGGACUGGAAAGUUGGGGGUGAAAUCCCGGGGCUCAACCCCGGAACUGCCUCCAAAACUUCCAAUCUAGAGAUCGAGAGAGGUGAGUGGAAUUCCAAGUGUAGAGGUGAAAUGCGUAGAUAUUUGGAGGAACACCAGUGGCGAAGGCGGCUCACUGGCUCGAUACUGACGCUGAGGUGCGAAAGCGUGGGGAGCAAACAGAAUUAGAAACCCCAGUAGUCC